This 76-nucleotide transfer RNA is filed under the name Candidatus Erwinia haradaeae. RNAcentral describes it as "transfer RNA Alanine". It matches the Rfam family "tRNA". Rfam says of the family: Transfer RNA (tRNA) molecules are approximately 80 nucleotides in length. Their secondary structure includes four short double-helical elements and three loops (D, anti-codon, and T loops). The record is from RNAcentral. Lineage: Bacteria; Pseudomonadati; Pseudomonadota; Gammaproteobacteria; Enterobacterales; Erwiniaceae.
GGGGGUAUAGCUCAGCUGGGAGAGCGCUUGCAUGGCAUGCAAGAGGUCAGCGGUUCAAGUCCGCUUAUCUCCACCA